This 324-nucleotide ribosomal RNA is filed under the name uncultured Scleroderma. RNAcentral's name for it is "eukaryotic LSU rRNA". The stretch from base 1 to 52 matches the Rfam family "5.8S ribosomal RNA", at positions 103 to 154 of the family's 154-position model. Lineage: Eukaryota; Fungi; Basidiomycota; Agaricomycetes; Boletales; Sclerodermataceae. The record is from RNAcentral.
AACGCACCUUGCGCUCCUCGGUAUUCCGUGGAGCAUGCCUGUUUGAGUGUCAUCGAAAUCUCGAACCGAAGCCCUCGACCUCGUCGGAGCUCGGUUUCGGACAGUGGGGGUCUGCGGGCGGCAACGUCGGCUCUCCUCAAAUGCAUUAGCUGUGGGUGCGAGCCUCGCACGGCGACGGCCUCUUUCGACGUCAUAAUGAUCGUCGUGGGGCUGGAAGCGCGCGGGAAUCGGCAUGUCCCAUGCUUUCCAACUCUGCUGCGGGACGACCGCACGCGUUUAUCAAGGCUUGACCUCAAAUCAGGUAGGACCACCCGCUGAACUUAA